Molecule: long non-coding RNA, 429 nt
Organism: Etheostoma cragini (Arkansas darter)
Lineage: Eukaryota; Metazoa; Chordata; Actinopteri; Perciformes; Percidae
Exons: 4
Source: RefSeq, a predicted model, not a curated record
UCAGCUGGAGGCAAACAAAAGUCUUGAACCUGAGAAGUCCCAGGAGCGGCCCGGCCCCCAGACCAAUCAGGACUCAGCAGAGGGACACGUCAUUGUGGAUGAGGUCGACCCAGAGGGCAAAUAUGUCCGUCUUCGCAACACACGCACCGCGGACCAAGUACUGCAAGGCUGGGAAGUACACAUACGAGUCAAUAACAGAAAACCCAUCAUACACACAUUUUCCAAAUUCUCUCUUAAGGCUGGAGAUACUUUCACUGUGGAGUUGAGAGAGAAACACUGGGACUCUGGAGACCAACUGCUGGUCUCCCUCUACAGCCACACUGGAGAGGAAAUAUCCACGAAGAAAGUUGAUGGAAAGAUGAAUUCUGAUGUGCGGACGUGAAAACAUCGAGUCAUAUUCAUCUGAAACAUGGUGACUUUUAUCUCUGU